This is a small nucleolar RNA of Sorex fumeus (smoky shrew), 100 nucleotides long. RefSeq annotates it as small nucleolar RNA U13. The transcript has a single exon. The record is from RefSeq and is a predicted model, not a curated record. NCBI's taxonomy places the organism in Eukaryota, Metazoa, Chordata, Mammalia, Eulipotyphla, Soricidae.
AUCCUCGUGUGAUUCAUAAGCAUAACUGGGUGUUCACAUGCUGUGUGAAAUGGACCUCCCUCAAAUCUUACUAUGAGGUCAGUGCAUUAUUCCUCUGAUC